RNAcentral lists this ribosomal RNA (253 nucleotides) under uncultured bacterium. RNAcentral's name for it is "partial 16S ribosomal RNA". It matches the Rfam family "Bacterial small subunit ribosomal RNA", at positions 524 to 776 of the family's 1533-position model. The record is from RNAcentral.
UACGGAGGGAGCUAGCGUUGUUCGGAAUUACUGGGCGUAAAGCGCGCGUAGGCGGCUUUGUAAGUUAGAGGUGAAAGCCCGGAGCUCAACUCCGGAACUGCCUUUAAAACUGCAUCGCUUGAAUCCAGGAGAGGUGAGUGGAAUUCCGAGUGUAGAGGUGAAAUUCGUAGAUAUUGGGAAGAACACCGGUGGCGAAGGCGGCUAUCUGGCCCGUAAUUGACGCUGAGGCGCGAAAGCGUGGGGAGCAAACAGG